GCAUCCGUAGCUCAGCUGGAUAGAGUACUCGGCUUACGAACCGAGCGGUCGGAGGUUCGAAUCCUCCCGGAUGCACCA
RNAcentral lists this transfer RNA (78 nucleotides) under Escherichia coli B574. RNAcentral's name for it is "tRNA-Val". It matches the Rfam family "tRNA". Rfam says of the family: Transfer RNA (tRNA) molecules are approximately 80 nucleotides in length. Their secondary structure includes four short double-helical elements and three loops (D, anti-codon, and T loops). The record is from RNAcentral. Lineage: Bacteria; Pseudomonadati; Pseudomonadota; Gammaproteobacteria; Enterobacterales; Enterobacteriaceae.